UCGCUGAGUAGUGGAAGGAAUCACCGCUUCGGGGUUAAAGCCCUAGAUCAAUCGAGAACAGGGUGUCUCUGAGUUCUGCAGGCACGGCUUGGUCAU
RNAcentral lists this transfer RNA (96 nucleotides) under Pseudomonas fluorescens. RNAcentral's name for it is "tRNA-Phe(aaa)". RNAcentral also lists the same sequence under 1 other name. Lineage: Bacteria; Pseudomonadati; Pseudomonadota; Gammaproteobacteria; Pseudomonadales; Pseudomonadaceae. The record is from RNAcentral.